This 2430-nucleotide long non-coding RNA is filed under the name Marmota monax (woodchuck). The record is from RNAcentral. Lineage: Eukaryota; Metazoa; Chordata; Mammalia; Rodentia; Sciuridae.
UCUUCUGGCAUACCUUGUGCAUAGAGUAAUAGAACAAGCUGUCUAUGGACUGAGGCCUCUGAAACCAUGAGCACCAAAUAAACUUCCUCCUCUGAAAAUUUUCUUAUCAGGUCUUUUGGUUGCAGCCCUAAACAGCUGACUAAAACAUACAGUUAUUACUGUAUUACUCAAUAGAAUCCACAUAUAUUUCCCUCAAUACCUAACACUGAGGGAAAAUAUCUGAGAAUUUUACAUCUUCAUGAAAGAGUAUGGGAACCCCAGUCAAGAGUAUGUGUUUCUGGCCUUGCAGAACAAGUUUCUCUAAUGUGUCACAGAAACCAUUCUUAAUGUCAUAUGGGUUUUUCUAAGGUGGGAUCUCAGGAUGGUGAAGACGGCCAGAAUUUACCAGGGAAUACAUUUUCUGUAGCUGAGUGCUUGUGAUCUUUGAUAUAUCUAAGUCCUGGGGAGAAUGGAAAUACCAUGUUAGAAAGAAAAAGGACUUCAGAUUUUAAAGGACACCGGAGAAGCUCUACCACCCUACGGCCCACAUAUGUUAAAAUCUAGGUGGAUUGGAGUAAGAUUUUUCUGGACAGAGUAAGAGAAUAUUAAUUGCACCAAGCAAGAAAGGCAGAGGUCACUAAAAUCAUAUUGCACUUAUAGAAGUGCCACACAAACUAGGAAAUCAUGAGGAAAAUUGUCCGCAUGUACAGUGGGGUCAUCACAACAAAAGUUUGCCAUGAAAGCCUGAUGCCAUAUCUGAGACAUCCUGGUGGGAGAAUUUACCUGAUUUAAAAAAAAAAAAAAAAGACUUCUUUUCACGUAUGGCUUUCCCCAGAAGAGGGAAAUAAAAUAAACACAUAUUUGAAGCCCUGUCUUCAGAAUGGAAACACAUAAAAGGAAGAUUGUGCCACUUGGGCAGAAAACAAUGUAGUAAUAUCUGGUGUAUCUUGGGUCCUCAAAAUCAAUGUUUUUGGCUUUAGGCUUAAGUGAAUUGAUGAGCUUUUAUAAAUAUCUCCAUAUAAAAACUUAUAGAUGCCAAAAUCCUUAAUAAAACAUCUGAAAACCACAUUGAAAAACAUAUGAAGAGGAUAAUACACCAUGAUUAGGUGGGCUUCAUCCCAGGAUGCAAGGCUGGUUCAACAUACACAAAUCAAUAAAUGUAAUCCUCCACCUAACAGAAUUAAGAAUAAAAUCAUAUAAUCAUCUCAAUAGAUGCAGAAAUGACCUUUCAUAAAAUACAGCACUCAAGCACGUUAAAAACACUGGAAAGGGCCUGGGUUGUAUGUCAGUGAUAGAGCACUUGCCUAACAUAUGUGAGGCACUCAUUUUGAUUCUCAGCACUGCAUAUAAAUAAAUAAAAUAAAGGACCAUCAACAACUAAUAAAAAUAUAAAAAUAAAAGAACACUGGAGAAAGUAGGGUUAGAAAGGAGUUACCUCAACAUUAUUAAGGCAAUAUACAAAAAACUCAUAGCCAACAUCAUAUUAAAUGAAAAAAUAUUGAAAGCUAUUCCUCUAAAAUCAGGGACAAAAGAAGGAUAUUGACCCUCACCACUUUUAUUCAAUAUAGUUUCUGAAACUCUAGCCAGGACUAUCAGGCUAGAGAAGAAAAUUAAAGGGAGAAAAAUCAGAAAAGUAGUCAUUAAACUAUCAUUGUUUGCUGGUAACAGAAUCUUAUAUGUAGAAGACCCCCAAAAUUCCACCAAAGAGUUCUAGAGAUGAUUAAAGAAUUUAAGAAAUAGCAGGGUACAAGGAAAAAGGCUCAUUAAAUCAAUAGCUUUUUUAUAAACAGUAAUUCAGCAGAGAAAAAACUAUCAUUUGUACAAUAACCUCAAGAAAAAUAAAAUACCUGGGAUUUAAUCUACUCAAGGAAGUGAAAAACUAUACAACAAAAAUCACUUAACACUGAAUAAAGAGAUUAAAAAAGUCUUCAGAAAAUUAAAAGACCUCAUGUUUUUAGACAGGCAGAAUUAAUAAUGUCAAAAUAGCCAUACUACCAAAGCAAUAUACACAUUCAAUGCAAUCCCCAUAAAAAUACAAUCAAAAGCUUCAAAGACUUAGGAAAAAAAAGGUCCUACACUUUGUUUGGAAGAAUAAAUGAUCCAUAAUAGCCAAAUCAAUUCUGAGCAAGAAAAGUGAUUCAGGAGGCAUCACAAUAUCUUAUUGCAAAUUAUAGUGCAGAGUCUUAUUAGCCACAACAUCAUGGUACUAGCAUCAAAGUAGACAUAAAGACCAAUGGAAUAGAAUAGAAUAGAAUAUAGUGACAAAGCUGAACACUUACAGCCAUCUGAUACUUGAGUUGGAGAACAUAGAGACUUUAUAUUAAAGGCAUUGUGAAAAAAAUGGAUAUGCAUAUGUAGAGGAACCAACUUAUAUUCCUAUCUUUCAUCCUGCACAAAACUCAUAUCAAAAUGGAUCAAAUACUUAGGAACCUUGAAACUUCUAGAAGACAA